This 242-nucleotide ribosomal RNA is filed under the name uncultured bacterium. RNAcentral describes it as "partial 16S ribosomal RNA". It matches the Rfam family "Bacterial small subunit ribosomal RNA", at positions 94 to 334 of the family's 1533-position model. The record is from RNAcentral.
ACCGGCGCACGGGUGCGUAACGCGUAUGCAACCUACCUAUCAGUCUGGAAUAACCCGGCGAAAGUCGGACUAAUACCGGAUAAUGCAGGGAUCCCGCAUGGGAAUAUUUGCUAAAGAUUUAUUGCUGAUAGAUGGGCAUGCGUUCCAUUAGGUAGUUGGUUGAGGUAACGGCUCACCAAGCCUUCGAUGGAUCGGGGUUCUGAGAGGAAGGUCCCCCACACUGGUACUGAGACACGGACCAG